CCACGGAAUUCUGCAGAGAUGCGGAAGUGCCUUCGGGAACCGUGAGACAGGUGCUGCAUGGCUGUCGUCAGCUCGUGUUGUGAAAUGUUGGGUUAAGUCCCGCAACGAGCGCAACCCUUAUCCUUUGUUGCCAGCGAUUCGGUCGGGAACUCAAAGGAGACUGCCGGUGAUAAACCGGAGGAAGGUGGGGAUGACGUCAAGUCAUCAUGGCCCUUACGGCCAGGGCUACACACGUGCUACAAUGGCGCAUACAAAGAGAAGCGACCUCGCGAGAGCAAGCGGACCUCAUAAAGUGCGUCGUAGUCCGGAUUGGAGUCUGCAACUCGACUCCAUGAAGUCGGAAUCGCUAGUAAUCGUGGAUCAGAAUGCCACGGUGAAUACGUUCCCGGGCCUUGUACACACCGCCCGUCACACCAUGGGAGUGGGUUGCAAAAGAAGUGGAUAGCUUAACCUUCGGGAGGGCGUUCACCACUUUGUGAUUCAUGACUGGGGUGAAGUCGUAACAAGGUAAGCGUAGAUGA
RNAcentral lists this ribosomal RNA (521 nucleotides) under uncultured bacterium. Its description in RNAcentral is "bacterial SSU rRNA". It matches the Rfam family "Bacterial small subunit ribosomal RNA", at positions 988 to 1509 of the family's 1533-position model. The record is from RNAcentral.